AGUCUAAAAGUUAUAAUUUUAAUCUUAUUCAUCAUAAUUGUGUCAUUAUUUAAUGAAUUUUAUUUAUUGGUACAACAAAAAGAUUGAAACACAGACUAUUGGCACGCAAAACAGAAUGAAACUUUUGUAUUACAAACAGAUCAAUUAAAGGAUGGUAUUAUGACCCUAAAAGAAGCUAAACAUCUAAGCAUUAAUGUUGCCUUAUCUUAACGAGCAGAGAUUGAAAAUGAGUUAAAUGCGUUAAACAUUUAAUAUAAAAAAUACUGAUUGACCAAUAGUAAUAUGCAAAAUCUAAAUGAUCAAAUAUUUCUACAACUUUAUGAUUGUUGAUAAACAUAUUCAAAAAAAUAUAAAGCAAUAUGAUUCAUUAUAAAAAAUGAAUAAGAAUAAUCAAGAAAUAGCUACAAAAAAAUAUGGAGUUUAUUUAAUAAGACAGUGAUGGUGCUAUUUAUGGUGUGUGGAUUCUUUUGUGUAGUACUUAGUCAUUACAUAAUCAUCACAUUGUUAUCUGGCAAAAAGUCUCUUGCAUUAUUUAAAGUUAUCACAUGCCAAUAUUCCACUUUUACACGUAUUAAAAACUGUAAGUAUGUGUAUACAUAGUGUCUAUGUUUAUAUUUUUAAAAUUUAGUUUUAUAUACAGUUAUUUUAUCUCAUAUUUGUAUAAAGCUUAUGCAGGUAAUAUAAUAUAAUUAUUUUGAUUUAAAUAUAUAUAGUAUUUUGUUUAUUUCGUUCAUAUAGCACUUGUAUACGUUGUGUAUUUAUUAAAAAAAAAACAUUUAUGUAGACUAGACCUUCCUGUUUAGCCCAUUCCAUAUAAUUAAUUUUGAUAUCAGUUUUCUUUUUUAUACAAACCAAUUAGAAAUGUGUUUACACAGUUAUUGGGAGUGUGCAAACAAUUUUUUCAAAAGAAAAUCACUUUUUAUAAUCUUUUAAAACUUUAUAGUAUUAAAGUAAUGCUUAAAAAUUAGUAAUAUGUAAAAUUACUUAUUAUUAAAAUUUGUAUAUUAUAAUUUUGUUUAUAUGUUUAUAUUAUUUGUUAUGUUAUUUUGUGCGUUGUUUAUAAUGACAUGUACUUUUGUGUAUUGUUUAUGUUGACGUGUAUUUUUUUUUUUUUUUUUUUUUUUUUUUUGUAGCUUUAUGUAAAAUCAAGAUCAUAAUUAUUUAAAUUUAUUUAAAAUUUAUUUAAAUACUCAUUUUCUUAUAAUAAUUUGCAAUAGAUCAAUAAUUUAAUAUGUUUAUUAUAUAAAAUUAUUAUUUUUAAUAUAUUAUAGCAAAAUUUAUUAGAAAAAAAAAACUUAUUACUAUUUAAAACGAAUUCGAUAUUCAAGCACUUGUUAUAUUCGGGUCAUUUUUUGAUAAUAAAAACUUGGAUUUGCACCUGUUACAUACGUAACUUAAUAAUUUUCUAAAACCUUAUAAAUCUUAGCAAGUGGGAGAAAAUUUAUCACAAAUUAACUCCGUGUAUCUAUUUAACAAUACUAGAAAAUUCCUUUCUAUCUAUGUGACUAUGUGAUUGAUGUGUCUAUCUAUCUAUGUGACAUGUGUAUCUUUGUAACAAUACUGAAAACUGAGUGCUAAAAACUGAUACAUAAUACUAGACAUUAAUAUGAAGUACUGAAUGUAUCUUAGUAUCAGAUUUACUAGUUCUCCAAUUUUUUCUUAAAAUGCACAACAAAAAACCUUUUUUAUGGUUUGCGGCGAUUAACCUGAUAAUACCAUAUAAAGGUUCUUGUGGAACAACACAAUGAAAAAUGCUUUAAGAAAUUUUUAUAAAAGAUACUUUUGUGCACACCCAGAGUGGAGACCUCAAAUAAUCCCAGUUUAGAAUAUUGCUUGUGAAUCUUCUUAAAACGAUUACUAUGAAUAUAAAAAUGGAUUUAUGAAACACUUGAUUGACUAUAGACUAUAUGCCCAUUGAUUUAGACAAAUAAAAUUUCAGAUUUUUGCAUCUUAUCACAAAAAUUUAAAGGACUUAAAACAUGGUAUACAUUUAGUAAACUAAGCGCAAUAAACCCAACCUAUUUAUAAUAUAAUAAACCCAACCAUUUGUUAACUACAUGCACAGCAACAAACAAAAACACCCUUAAAAAUAACCAACUGAACAAAAAAAGCUUAAUUCAAAUUAGUUAAAAGUACAAUUCAAAUUUUAGUUAAAAUACAAAAGUACCAUUAGUGUGGACCCUAAAAAUAAAUAUUGGUAUUGCCUUACAGCUAAUAUAACAUGGGAAAUAGGAUUGUUAAACAUUACCAUCGGAUGUAACAUAAUCAUAUUCUAGAUUUCUACAUUUAAACAUUUUAGGGUUGAUGAAUUUCUAUUUUUGUCCAAAAACGCAAAAAAUGAUUUAAAAUGAAGAAUAAAAACCCGCUCAUGAAAAUUAAUAAGCAUAUAUAUAAAAUUAAUAGUAUACAUAUAUAAUAGUAUACACAUAUAUAUAAAAUUAAUAGUAUACGUAUAUGCAUAUAUAUAAAAUUAAUAGUAUACAUGUGUAUAUAGUUGUUAUUUUUUUAGAAAAGGAUGUACUACAAUAAUUUGUUUGGGGACGACGUUUUGCUUUAAAUUGAUAAAGUUAUUUAAUUUUAGUUUCAGUUUUGUUUAAAUACAAGUAAACUGAAAUAUUUUUUUCGUAAUAACAUAAAAAUAGGUUCUGCAAUUAUUCAUUUGUUAUGUGAAUAAGUUUUUUUUUUUUUGUAGUUUAAUAGGGUGGGUGUUGUUUUCUAAGUGGCGAUUUUUUAAAUUUCCCCGUGUUGAGAUAUUUUUGAGUGCAAUCAAAACUUGAAAAGCAUUCUAAAGUGGGUUUUGUUGUUGACGUUGUUGUUGCUAACCAAUUAGUAAUUUAAUUUCAACAGUUUGUCAAUAAAAUUAUCAAUGAAAGUAUUUAUGAUUGGUAUUUGACAUUAAAAGAUACAUCUUAUCAUGCAAUAUAUUGUAGAUGUUACGUGGAUAUCAAUGUUAAACUGUUUUGCUGCAAGAAAGCUUUGGCCAAAAAGAUAAUUAGAUUAGUUGACACCAUCAGAAAAAUAAAGAAACAACAAAAAUAUUAUUAUUAAAGUUGUUAGGUGUAGCCUUUUUUCCACAUGUUUCAAAUUUCCUCAUAAUACAGUGAAUGCAUUUGAAAUUCCUAAAAAAACAAUACUAAUAAGCAAAAACAAAAUGCUUAAAAAAGUAAAUAAAAUUUCAAAGGAAAAUGGAAUCUAUGUUGGAUUUAAAAAUGGAAUUUUUUUACACAUCUAAUAGAUUUUAAAGAUAUGCGAUAUUGAAGGUAUGCAAUAUAAAAGAGCUAUUAAAGGCAAAAGUGCCCCUUUUUCAACUAAAUUUAUAUCGCAUAAUCUUAGGUGUCGAAUAUGGAAAAAACCUUUUUUGUAAAACAAAGGUAGCAGGAAGCAAAAGAAUAAUUAUCUUGGGAACCUGAUGAAGUCAGGUCAUUUCCUUUACGGUCAUUUCCUUUAUUAAUUGAUUUUGAAAAAGAUGAUCUUAUUCUUUUUAGCUAGAAUUGCGCAAUAAUUUUAUUUAAUAAAAAUUUAUAAUUAUGUUGUAUGUAUUUAUGUAUUUAUUAUGUAUUUAUUAUUAUUAAGUAUGUAUUUAUUUUAUUUAUUUUUUUAUU
Long non-coding RNA from Hydra vulgaris (swiftwater hydra), 3602 nucleotides. RefSeq lists it as uncharacterized. Lineage: Eukaryota; Metazoa; Cnidaria; Hydrozoa; Anthoathecata; Hydridae. The record is from RefSeq and is a predicted model, not a curated record.